UUUUAGGGCCUCACCCACGGCAUAUGGAGGUUCCCAGGGUAGGGGUCUAAUCAGAGCUGUUGCCACCAACCUACACCACAGCCACAGCAACGCCACAUCCGAGCCGUGUCUGCGACCUAUACCACAGCUCAUGGCAAUGAUGGAUCCUUAACCCACUGAGUGAGGCCAGGGGUUGAACCCACAACCUCAUGGUUCCUAGUCUGAUUUGUUUCCGCUGCGCCAUGAUGGGAGCUCCAUAUACUUUAAUUUUUAAAAAAGGGAAAAAUAAAACACAGAAAGAAUAACAUCAUACAUAAAUGAUACAAAUGAACUGAUUUACAAAACAGAGACUUAUAGACGUAGAAAACAAAUGAUGGUUUUACCAAAAGGGGAAGGGUGAGGACACAUUAGGCGUUGGGAUGAACAACACAGAUUACUAGACAUAAAACAGCAACCAGGACCCACUGUGUAGCUCAAGGAACUGUAUUCAGUACCUUGGAAUAACCUGUAAUGGAAAAGAAUCUGCAAGAGAAGAGCUGUCCACCUGAAACGAACACAGCGUUGUAAAUCAACUUACUUCAAUUUAAAAAAAGGCUCCCGUGGUGGCUCAGUGUGUUAAGAACCCAGCACAGUGCCCAUGAAGAUAAGGGUUUGAUCUCUGCCCUUGCUCAGUGGGUUAAGGAUCCGGAGUUGCUGCAAGCUGUGGCACGGGUCGGAGAUGUGGCUUGGAUCCGGUGUUGCUGUGGCUGGGGCAUAGGCCUUCAGUCGCAACUCUGGUUUGACCCCUAGCCUGGGAACUUCCGUAUGCCCGUGUGCCGCUGGUGCCUCGGUAAGCAAAGAAAAGAAGUGUGAAGCUCAGUGCUGCCACCUAGCAAAUGUCUAAUAAUAGCAGCUGUGCAACAGGUGGAAUGUACUUGCAGCCACAGCCUAUACCCAGCCCUGGGCUGCAGUAAUAUGAGUUAAGGCAAGUGUUCCUAAGAUUGUAUUCUUUCUUCCUCCUUGGGAAAUGAGAGAACUUUCUCCGAGGUUCCUGCCUGGUGGCUGAGGAGGUCGUGGGGGUGCUGAAGGUAGUUGGAGAAACAUCUCAGUAAUGGAGGGUGGGCGGAGCCUCGGGCCUCAUGGUGCCGCACAGCCUGGCUUUUUAGCGGCAGAGCAGAGGGUUACUCACGGCACCGCCACUGAGACCUGUGCAGCUUGGGGUUUCCUUCUGUUCUUUCAUCUCCUGCAUCAGGUCCUUCAGCAAGUUCCGCCUCUUCUUUCAAACCUCACUUUUCUUUUCUUUUUUGACACUGUUCUUGCUCUGGCCCAAGCUCUUGUCUCACGCCUGAGUUAUUGCCAAAGUCCUUUCCUACUUUGCCCCCUCAUUUCAUCUGUAAAAUAUUAAAACUACUGUAGUUGAUUUUUGUUUCAGAAACAAAGAGAGUCAAAAGUAGGAAAACAGUGAGAAGGCACAAGGAAGAAGUAAGUCUCCACCUGGCGGUGGCAGCGUCUUGAUUUCUUCCUACUUAAGCACUGAUACAGUUGCAGCUCAGAAGGAAUCGUAUGUGCGUAAUGUUUUACCCCUUUGGCUCUUUUACUCAAGACGGCGUCUAUUGCUGUGUAACAAACCACCCCCAAAGUUAGCAGCUUAGAGCAGCGGGCUCGUAUCACCUCACUUGGUCGGAGGGUCAGGGGACCGCAGGAAGUGCUUUGCCAAUGAUUCUGGCUCACGGCAUCUCAUGAGACUACGGUCAAGGUGUGGCCUGGGCCGCAGUCAUCCGAAGGCUUGGCCCGGUGGGAGGACCUGCUUGCAGGAUGACUUAUUCCCAUGGCUUUUGACCGGAGGCCUCAGGGCCUCUGCCACCUGCACUUCUUCCAACAAGGCAGCUGGCCCCCCCCCAGAGAGAGGGGUCCGGGAGAGAGGAGGGCACGGCAGGGCCGUGCUGUCUUUUUUUCCGACAGCGUUUCGAGACAUGGUUCACGUAUCUCACAGUUCACCGCAGUGGUUUUUAGUGUAUUUAUGGGGCUGCACUACCGUUAGCUCCACGUCGUCCCAGAACUUCUACUAGGCCAAAUGAAGAGUGGUGCUCCCCCCGCCCCGCCCCCGAUUGCUCUGUUUCUAUACAUCGGCCUCUGGUGGACAUGCAGUCAUAUGCUGUGUGGCCUUUGUGUUCGGGCUCGUUUCCUUAGCAUGAUGUUGUCAAGGACUGUCCGUGUUAGAACACGUCCGUGCUUUCUUUCCAUGGCUGGGUAGUAUUCUGCUAUAUGGAAAGCAUUUUGUUCAUUCAUUAGUGGGUGGACAUUUGUGUUUUCACCUUUCAGCUAACAUGAAUACUCCUGCUAGCUCAUUCGUGUGCAGGUUUUUGUGUGGACAUUUGUUUUCAUUUCUUUGGAGUAUGCAUUUAGGAGGGAAUGGCUGGGUCAUGUGAUAACUCUGUGCUUAACAUUUUGGAGAGCUGCCUGAUGUUUUUCCGAAGAAACUGCACCAUUUUGUCUUUCCAUCAGCGGGACGGGAGGGUCCAGCUUUUCCACAUCGUCACCAACACUGUGUCUUUCAGUAUAGCCAUCCUAGUGCCUGUGAGGCAGUGCCUCAUUGUGGUUUUGAUUCGUGUUUCCCUAAUGACUCAUGAUGCCAAGCAACUUUUUAAAAGGUGCUUAUUAGUCGUUUGUACGUUUGUAUGUCUUUUUUUUUUUUUGGUCCUUUUAGGGCCACACCCUUGGCAUAUGGAAGUUCCCAGGUUAGGGGUGGAAUCAGAGCUAUAGCUGCCAGCCUAUAUUGCAGGUCAUGGCAAUGCAGGAUCCUUAACCCAUUGAGCGAGGCCAUGGAUCCAACCUGCAUCCUCAUGGAUGCUAGUUACAUUCUUAACCCACUGAGCCACAAUGGGAACUCCCUGUAUGUCUUCUUUUGAGAAAUGUUUAUUCUAAUUCUUUGCUCAUUUAUGCAGUCGGGUUGUCUUUUUAUUGUUGAGUUGUAUGAGUUCUUUACAUAUAUUGGAUACAAAUUCCUAAUCAGUAUAUGAUAUGCAAAUAUUUUAUUCCAUUCUGUAUGUUUUCUUUUCACAUUCUUGAUGGUAUUGUUUGCGGCAAGAAAGUUUUGAACUUGGUUUUUUUUUUAGCUGCACCUGUGGCAUGCCAGCCUGAGCUGCUGCAGUGACAAUGCUGGAUCCUUAACCCACUGCACCACAGGAGAACUUCAAGAGUAUUUUUUUAAAUUCAGUUUUUUUUAUAGUUGAUUUACAGUGGUGUGCCAACUUCUUAUACAGUAAAGUGACCCAGUUAUAUUAUUUUUGCCCUUUCUUAUAUUAUCUUCCAUCAUGGUAUAUCCCAAGAGGUGAAAAAAUAUGGUGGUUUCUCAGAAAACUAAAUAGAGAACUACCAUAUGAUCCAGCAAUCCCACUCCUGGGCAUCUCUCCAGACAAAACUACAAUUCAAGAAGAUACCUGCACCUCUGUGUUCCUAGCAGCACUAUUCCCAACAGCCAGGGCAUGGAAGCCACCUGAAUGUCUAUCAACAGAUGAAUGGACUAAGAAGAUGCGGUGCAUAGAUACAGUGACACACCACUCAGCCGUAGCAAAGUAGAAGAUAACGCCGUUUGCAGCAACAUGAAUGCAACUAGAGAUUCUCAUAUUGAGUGACGUCAGUCAGAAAGAGAAAGGCAGAGACCCUAUGCUACCACUUAUAUGUGGAACCUACAAUAUGGCAUAAACGAGCCAUCUAUUCCGCAGAGACGGACUCACAGAUGUGGAGAACAGACUCCUUGCCAAGGGGGGGGCAGUGGGAUAGACUGGGAGUUUUGCAGUCCAUACGGUUGCAUUUAGAGUGGACACAGAGUCAGGUCGUCCUGUUCAGCACAAGGAACUCUGUCCCGGUUCAUGGGAUAGAGCCUGGCGGACGGCAAGAGAGGGGAUGUGUGUGUGUCUGACUGGGUCCCUUUGCUGUGCAGCAGACAUCGGACCAGCACUGUAACUAACUAUCCUUUCGUAAAAAAGACUUCGUCCGCGAGGGAAUUCGGAAGCAGUCAAAGCUUCUGUUAUUUCUGAAAUUUCCCUUUCCUCGGGGGCGGGGAUGGGGGGACGCUGACACCCUAUUUGAUAGGGACUUGCUGAAAUAUGAGACGCGGCGUUCCUGUCAUGGCUCAGUGGAAACGAAGCUGACUGCUGUCCAUGAGGGCGCAGGUUUGAUCCCUGGCCUUGCUCAGUGGGUUAGGGAUCCGGCGUUCCUGUGAGCUGUGGUGUAGGUCGCAGAUGCGGCUCAGAUCCCGCGUUGCUGUGGCUGUGGUGUAGGCCAGCGGCCACAGCUCCUAUUUGACCUCUAGCCUGGGAACCUCCAUAUGCUGUGAGUUCAGCACCAAAAAGACAAAAAACUAAGCAAAAAAAGAAACAUAGCCCCUUGUUAUGGAUAAAAUCAGUGAGGGCCAGCUUGUCUUUCCUUAAGCAUUUUAAUUACUCAAGGUAUUGUCUCUUUAACAAUAGGACUAUUCUUGCUAGAUUUCCAGUGAACUAUUUCUCGUGCCUCAUAAAGUACAGUUCAUUGAUAGUCUGAAAAAACUCCCGUAUCUCAGACAUGACACAUUCUCCUGAAUCCCCCAGCUUGGAAGUCUGUUGACAGCAGCAAUGGUGACAGGAGAAACAGCCUCGCCCUGUGAUUCCCAAACAGUGAUGCUAAUGCCGUCCUGUCCUCUGAAUCGUGUCUUCCUAAGUGAGCUUGGCCCUGUGUUAAUCCGACUUUUGUGCUGUCGGGACUUUCAAAAAGAAGUUUAUAAGGGUAGUUUUCAUUUUAUUGGCCGAAAGAGUGAUUGAAAAGCUGGCAGCAGGUGGCGCUGAAGGACUGAACUUGGAAAUGGCCCGUGGGGUGUCUGGCCUGUGGACUGGGCUUUGGGCCCUGCGCCCUGUGUCCCAGGCCCGUUAAAGGAAGGAAGGGCGAGCGCAGCCCUGGCGUCCGGCGAGCGCCCAGAGCCAGCGAUGCUGGCCUCGCCCUGCCUACCUGUCUCGGUCUCUUCCCUCGAGAGGCGACCCCCCGAAGGUGUGGGUAGACGAAGGCCUCAAGGGGCAAAAACACCAAAACCAACCCAGGUUUUGUGAAGGACAAUGAAAACGCACUGCUCAGAAGCGGCUUUGGAGGGCCGGCCUUGCUCUCGCCGCUGCGGACUCCUCUCCAGGAAUGUAGCCUGGUCGGGGUGGCGGCGGAAGAAAAGAGCAUCCGGAAAUUCCUUCUCGGGGACCUUGUGCAGAAGCAGCCUCCAUCGCUCCAGGCCCAAACAUGGCAGGGGGAUGGGCCCGAUUUCCCGCCAGCCUGCUCUUAUUAUCUGCCCCGUCCCCUGCUUUCUAGAAGUCUCCAAUGUGCCCAGAAAUGUUUUUCUCUAGGGCCGUUACCAGGAAAGUAAAAUUCAAAAGGGAGACUUUGGAAUUUUUUAAAUUUUUGGACCAUAUUCACAGCAUGCCGAAGUUCCCAUAUCAGGGUUUGAAUCCAAGCCGCUGUGGUGACAAUGCCAGAUCCUUAACCUGCUGAGUCACAUGGGAACUCUGAGAGGCUGUGGAUUUAAAGAGGAAAAUAAACUUCCACCGGGCCUCCAAGAGGACGGAAAGGAGACCAGCAGGAGGUGAAGUGGAAAGGUCUGCUUUGGAGCUCCCGUCGGGGCGCAGCGGUUCACGAACCCGACUAGGAACCUCGAGGUUGCGGCUUCGAUCCCUGGCCUUGCUCAGUGGGUUAAGGAUCCGGUGUUGCCGUGAGCUGGGGUGUAUGUUGUAGGCGCAGUUUGGAUCCCGAGUUGCUGUGGUUGUGGUGUAGGCCAGCGGCUACAGCUCCGAUUCGACCCCUAGCCUGGGAACCUCCAUAUGCCGCGGGUGCGGCC
This 5809-nucleotide long non-coding RNA is filed under the name Sus scrofa (pig). RNAcentral's name for it is "lncRNA (ENSSSCG00045034796.1)". Lineage: Eukaryota; Metazoa; Chordata; Mammalia; Artiodactyla; Suidae. The record is from RNAcentral.